RNAcentral lists this ribosomal RNA (468 nucleotides) under uncultured bacterium. Its description in RNAcentral is "partial 16S ribosomal RNA". It matches the Rfam family "Bacterial small subunit ribosomal RNA", at positions 28 to 507 of the family's 1533-position model. The record is from RNAcentral.
GACGAACGCUGGCGGCGUGCUUAACACAUGCAAGUCGAACGGAAAGGCCCUGCUUUUGUGGGGUGCUCGAGUGGCGAACGGGUGAGUAACACGUGAGUAACCUGCCCUUGACUUUGGGAUAACUUCAGGAAACUGGGGCUAAUACCGGAUAGGAGCUCCUGCUGCAUGGUGGGGGUUGGAAAGUUUCGGCGGUUGGGGAUGGACUCGCGGCUUAUCAGCUUGUUGGUGGGGUAGCGGCUUACCAAGGCUUUGACGGGUAGCCGGCCUGAGAGGGUGACCGGCCACAUUGGGACUGAGAUACGGCCCAGACUCCUACGGGGGGCAGCAGUGGGGAAUAUUGCACAAUGGGCGGAAGCCUGAUGCAGCAACGCCGCGUGCGGGAUGACGGCCUUCGGGUUGUAAACCGCUUUCGCCUGUGACGAAGCGUGAGUGACGGUAAUGGGUAAAGAAGCACCGGCUAACUACGUG